CCCUUAGAUGUCCUGGGCCGCACGCGCGCUACACUGAUGCAUGCAACGAGUUUAUAACCUUGGCCUGAAAGGUCUGGGUAAUCUUUUGAACGUGCAUCGUGAUAGGGAUAGAUUAUUGCAAUUGUUAAUCUUGAACGAGGAAUUCCUAGUAAACGCUAGUCAUCAGCUCGCAUUGAUUACGUCCCUGCCCUUUGUACACACCGCCCGUCGCACCUACCGAUUGAAUGGUUCGGUGAAGAUCUCGGACUUCGAUAUUUAUUCUUUAUUGAGUUUAUAUUGUGGGAAGUUAUCUAAACCUCAUCAUUUAGAGGAAGGUGAAGUCGUAACA
This 328-nucleotide ribosomal RNA is filed under the name uncultured eukaryote. RNAcentral's name for it is "partial 18S ribosomal RNA". It matches the Rfam family "Eukaryotic small subunit ribosomal RNA", at positions 1470 to 1796 of the family's 1831-position model. The record is from RNAcentral.